RNAcentral lists this ribosomal RNA (425 nucleotides) under bacterium. RNAcentral's name for it is "partial 16S ribosomal RNA". It matches the Rfam family "Bacterial small subunit ribosomal RNA", at positions 355 to 776 of the family's 1533-position model. The record is from RNAcentral.
UGGGGAAUAUUGCACAAUGGGCGCAAGCCUGAUGCAGCGACGCCGCGUGAGGGAUGGAGGCCUUCGGGUUGUAAACCUCUUUCGCCAGUGAAGCAGGCCAUCUUCUUUGUGGGGUGGUUGACGGUAGCUGGAUAAGAAGCGCCGGCUAACUACGUGCCAGCAGCCGCGGUAAUACGUAGGGCGCGAGCGUUGUCCGGAAUUAUUGGGCGUAAAGAGCUCGUAGGCGGCUGGUCGCGUCUGUCGUGAAAUCCCCUGGCUUAACUGGGGGCUUGCGGUGGGUACGGGCCGGCUUGAGUGCGGUAGGGGAGACUGGAAUUCCUGGUGUAGCGGAGGAAUGCGCAGAUAUCAGGAGGAACACCGGUGGCGAAGGCGGGUCUCUGGGCCGUUACUGACGCUGAGGAGCGAAAGCGUGGGGAGCGAACAGG